RNAcentral lists this ribosomal RNA (450 nucleotides) under uncultured bacterium. RNAcentral describes it as "partial 16S ribosomal RNA". It matches the Rfam family "Bacterial small subunit ribosomal RNA", at positions 338 to 795 of the family's 1533-position model. The record is from RNAcentral.
CCUACGGGUGGCAGCAGUGGGGAAUUUUGGACAAUGGGGGCAACCCUGAUCCAGCCAUGCCGCGUGCGGGAAGAAGGCCUUCGGGUUGUAAACCGCUUUUGUCAGGAGAGAAAUCUCUUGGGCUAAUACCCUGAGAGGAUGACGGUACCUGAAGAAUAAGCACCGGCUAACUACGUGCCAGCAGCCGCGGUAAUACGUAGGGUGCAAGCGGGGCGUAGAAUUAGUGGGCGCGAAUGUGCAAGAGGGGGUUGAAAUCCCCGGGCUUAACCUGGGAACUGCACUUGUGACUGCACGGCUAGAGUACGGCAGAGGGGGAUGGAAUUCCGCGUGUAGCAGUGAAAUGCGUAGAUAUGCGGAGGAACACCGAUGGCGAAGGCAGUCCCCUGGGCCUGUACUGACGCUCAUGCACGAAAGCGUGGGGAGCAAACAGGAUUAGAUACCCUAGUAGUC